GACGGCCACAUCACAUUGAAACACAGGUUCCCGUAAGAUCACCGUAGUUAAGCAACGUCGGACCUGGUCAGUACCUAGGUGACCACUUGGGAAUACGACGUUCUGUAAG
Non-coding RNA from Acanthosepion pharaonis, 109 nucleotides. Lineage: Eukaryota; Metazoa; Mollusca; Cephalopoda; Sepiida; Sepiidae. The record is from the annotation of a GenBank genome assembly.